ACACUUGUUUGUGUUUUGGGGAGAGAAAGGAAGUGGAGAACGUUCUUGCAAGAUGAUCUGUAUUUUCUCUCUAAAGCAGAGUUCAUUUGCUGAGAAUGAUGGAGAAAAUCAGCAUCUAGCUAAUCAGCUGACCAUGAGAUGCAGAGAUUAUCUGGAAUUAUCCAGAUUGGUCCAUUUAAUUACAUGAGUCCUUAAAAGUGGAAAGUGGAAGAAGAGGCAGAAGAGUGUGUCAGAGAGAUGCUGUGUGAAAAGGACUCAACCUGCCACUUGAGGCUUUGAGGCUGGAGAAAGGGGCCAUGAACCAAGGAUUGUGAGCAGCCUGUAAAAUCUGGAAAAGACAAGGCAAUACCCUUUGCUGUCUCAGGGUCAAACAUGCAACUCCUGCCUGCUUGUAUGGCCAGCUGGGUUCAAGAAGGAAGGAACCUCAUUGUUGACAGUUACCAGAUGAAUGUGCCCCUUCUGUACAGCUAAGAAAUGGAAUAGACAUUGGUUCUCCUUACCAAUACUGACACACUCCAUAGUAUGGUUGUUGGCUUCCAACCCUUCUGGGCAAUUGUCAAGGCACUUUCCAAGGUGUAAGUAAAAUCCACUUUUACAUUUUGUGCAGAAAUUUUUGUUGAAACAGGUAUCACAGUCAGCUUUGCAUUCUGAAAGAGAAAAAAGAAAGAAAUAUGCUUGCAUUAUGUUCUCUUAACUAUUGGUCCAGUUCUACAUGUGUCAGACACAGCCACACACAACUUUAGUAUCAAAUAAACACCUGAAGUCCAAAAUUAUUUUGCCAGACUGAAUUCACGAUUCCUCCACAGUGAUUUAGUUGAGGUACAUUGGUUAUUGAUUUUAAAAUCAUUGUACUGAUUGCCCUAUGAAAAAAUCUUUGUGUGUGUGUAUAUAUAUAUAUAUAUAUAUCUCCAAGAAUAUUUAUAAGAUGAAGUAUCUGUUUAUAUUAAGUGAUAGUGAAAAUGUUUCAUCAGAACCUUAAGAAAACAUACAAAGGAUAUUAUCUUUGUGUUGUUCUUGAGGGCUAUUGAUUCUUACAACAAAUAUUUGAUUGCCUACUAUGUGCCAGGCAUUGUUUUUUAUAUUGGUUGACAGCAAUGCACAAGAGGGGUAAGAGUCAGGCUUCAGAAAGUUUACAUCCUAGGAGAGGAGAUACAGUAAACAAUAACAAUAGUUCACCCUUAUGUGGUGAUUACUGUAAGCCAGGAUUGCUAUAAUGCUUUACAAUAUUAUUAAGUUAUUUAAAGUUUACAACAAUCCAAUGAGGUAGUCAUUGGUAUAAUUUCAUUUUACAUAUAAGGAAACUGAGGCUCACAAAAGUUAUAAAACUAACCCAGGACAACAGAUCAGACUGCUUUUUGAAACCAGGCAGUCUAGUUCCAGAGUGAUAAGUGCUCUGGAAAACAAAACAAAAAAACAACAGCAAAUGGUGGGAAAAAGAGAUGGAGGGUGGUUGACAAGGGGAACAGGCUGAUUAUUUUGGAUAGGAUGAUCAUGGAAUGUCUCUCUGAGAAGGUGACAUAUGAGCAAAAUCAUCAAUGAUAUAAGACAGCCAGCUAUGCAAAGAUGUGGACAAAAAGCUUUCCAACUGCUAGAACAGCCAGUGUAGAACACAAUUGCAAAGGCUUGAGGUGGGAAGAUCUUAUGAGAAGGGAAGUGAGGCUGGUGCAAAAUGGGUGAGGGGGAGUUGUAGGAGAUGAGUUUGGAGGAACUACAUAUGGUAUUUGAAUAGAGUGGUAUUUCCUAAUUUACAUUUUUGAGAAAGGUCCCUGGGUCUGCAGUGUGAAAAACAGGUUUUCAGGUUCCAGAUGACAGUACUCCCAAUAUUUAUUUCCAAUUGAUAAAUAAAUGUUUCAGUUGCUCUGGAAUCUCUCUUGAAGUCAAAAUAGCUGAAAUGAUUUGGCAAGUUAGUCAAUACUUGGAUUUUGUGUUGAUAAUGGAAACUCAGAUGGAAUUGAGGCUUGCAGUACUUUUCUAUAGGUUCAAUGAGCAAUAAUCAUAUUCCCAGCCUUUGCUUUCAUAAUUAAAAAGAAAACCAAAACAUGAGUGCUUUUUUGUAAGUUAGUGAUAAAAAUUUUCUGGUUCUGAGGGUUAAGUCCAAGUAUGGUUUAGCCUAAUUAUCAGAUAAACAUUAUCAUUUACUUAACAUUGAAUAUCACAAAUAUAUUAGAGGCCAUUUCAAUCUGGAAAAGUCACCAAAGAUGAGAUAAAAAUACAAUUUCGUGUGGGCACUUACUUGUACACUUAUUUAUAUCUGGAUAUCGAGUUCCAUAAUAUCCACUUGGACAUGAAGAGAGACAUACUCCAAUCUGCUUCAUGCCAAUUCUUUCCAGAGCAAAAAAUAGUCUGGGCUUACAUGACAAACAUCCAUUGUAAUCUGAGCAUGUUGCACAGCCUCCUUGGCAGCCUUGACUAACGUUAGGAUGCACUGUGGAGACAAAUGUAGAAAGACAUUACAAAGGUUAAAUCACAGAUAAAAAAAUGACAUUUUCUGGGCAGGAUAUAUGUUCUCUUUCAUUAGCUUUCAAUUUGUUGGUAAUGGGUGAAUGAGGUGGGAUUUUUUUUCCUAUCUUUUUUUAUGAUCUUUUAUUUCCCUUUAGCACAUGUAUUGUUUUUAAUUUCAAAGUUCUUAAAAUUGAGCAUUUGAAAAAUAAAGAAUAUACUG
Molecule: long non-coding RNA, 2662 nt
Organism: Homo sapiens (human)
Lineage: Eukaryota; Metazoa; Chordata; Mammalia; Primates; Hominidae
Source: Ensembl